This 669-nucleotide small RNA is filed under the name Pongo abelii (Sumatran orangutan). Its description in RNAcentral is "processed transcript". The record is from RNAcentral. Lineage: Eukaryota; Metazoa; Chordata; Mammalia; Primates; Hominidae.
AGAGUGGCGCGGGGGGCGUGGGGCGGUGCUGAGGAGCUGAAGCCGUGGCCAGCUAGACGCCGGACAGUCCAGCGAGCAGCACGGCGGGAACCGGCAGCCGGAGCAGUCCCGGAGCAGAAGCAGCAGCAGCAGCAGCCCUCGCCGUUCGCGGAGCGCAGCCGAGCCGGCCAUGGCGUUGUCGAUGCCUCUGAAUGGGCUGAAGGAGGAGGACAAAGAGCCCCUCAUCGAGCUCUUCGUCAAGUAAAUCUCAAAUUUGGAUUAUCAAGCUAAUUGGAAAGGCUGGCAGUGAUGGUGAAAGCAUAGGAAACUGCCCCUUUUCCCAGAGGCUCUUCAUGAUUCUUUGGCUCAAAGGAGUUGUAUUUAGUGUGACGACUGUUGACCUGAAAAGGAAGCCUGCAGACCUGCAGAACUUGGCUCCCGGGACCCACCCACCAUUUAUAACUUUCAACAGUGAAGUCAAAACGGAUGUAAAUAAGAUUGAGGAAUUUCUUGAAGAAGUCUUAUGCCCUCCCAAGUACUUAAAGCUUUCACCAAAACACCCAGAAUCAAAUACUGCUGGAAUGGACAUCUUUGCCAAAUUCUCUGCAUAUAUCAAGAAUUCAAGGCCAGAGGCUAAUGAAGCACUGGAGAGGGGUCUCCUGAAAACCCUGCAGAAACUGGAUGAAUAUC